GGUUGAUGCUAGCGGUGCGCCUAACACAUGCAAGUCGAGCGGGAUUUGAUUAUAGCUUGCUACAAUUAAUGAGAGCGGCGAACGGGUGAGUAAUAUGUGAGCAAUCUGCCCUUCUCAUCGGAAUAAGCGCGGGAAACUGCGUCUAAUGCCGAAUAUGACGUUCUUUCGCAUGUCAGAACGUGGAAAGCUCCGGCGGAGAAGGAUGAGCUCGCGGCCUAUCAGCUUGUUGGUGAGGUAAUGGCUCACCAAGGCAUUGACGGGUAGCCGGCCUGAGAGGGUGACCGGCCACACUGGGACUGAGACACGGCCCAGACUCCUACGGGAGGCAGCAGUGGGGAAUAUUGGACAAUGGGCGAAAGCCUGGUCCAGCAACGCCGCGUGAGGGAUGACGGCCUUCGGGUUGUAAACCUCUUUCAGCGGGGACGAAGCGAAAGUGACGGUACCCGCAGAAGAAGGACCGGCCAACUACGUGCCAGCAGCCGCAGUAA
Molecule: ribosomal RNA, 488 nt
Filed under: uncultured bacterium
Lineage: Bacteria
Description: partial 16S ribosomal RNA
Rfam family: Bacterial small subunit ribosomal RNA
Source: RNAcentral